AACGAACGCUGGCGGCAGGCUUAACACAUGCAAGUCGAGCGCAUCCUUCGGGGUGAGCGGCGGACGGGUGAGUAACGCGUGGGAACGUGCCCUCUUCUACGGAAUAGCCUCGGGAAACUGAGAGUAAUGCCGUAUACGCCCGCAAGGGGAAAGAUUUAUCGGAGGAGGAUCGGCCCGCGUUGGAUUAGGUAGUUGGUGGGGUAACGGCCUACCAAGCCGACGAUCCAUAGCUGGUUCGAGAGGAUGAUCAGCCACACUGGGACUGAGACACGGCCCAGACUCCUACGGGAGGCAGCAGUGGGGAAUCUUGGACAAUGGGGGCAACCCUGAUCCAGCCAUGCCGCGUGAUCGAUGAAGGCCUUAGGGUUGUAAAGAUCUUUCAGCUGGGAAGAUAAUGACGGUACCAGCAGAAGAAGCCCCGGCUAACUCCGUG
Molecule: ribosomal RNA, 433 nt
Filed under: uncultured bacterium
Lineage: Bacteria
Description: partial 16S ribosomal RNA
Rfam family: Bacterial small subunit ribosomal RNA
Source: RNAcentral